GUGUUGGCUGUUUUCAAGCCUAAAAAGCUUGAAGAGUAAGGGCUGGGUAAGACGGGUGCCAGCCGCCGCGGUAAUACCUGCAGCUCGAGUGGUGGUCGCUUUUAUUGGGCCUAAAACGUCCGUAGCCGGUUGGGUAAAUGCCUGGGUAAAUCGAUGCGCUCAACGUAUCGAAUUCCGGGUAGACUGCCCGACUUGAGACCGGGAGAGGUGCGGAGUACUCGGGGGGUAGGGGUAAAAUCCUGUAAUCCUCCGGGGACUACCAGUGGCGAAGGCGCCGCACUGGAACGGCUCUGACGGUGAGGGACGAAGCCCUGGGGCGCAAACCGGGAUUAGAUACCCGGGGUAGUCCAGGGUGUGGAACGCUGCUGACUUGGUGUUCGGAAGGUCCUUCCUGGGGCUUUUCGGGGCCCGAAAGAAAAUUUUUUAAAUUC
RNAcentral lists this ribosomal RNA (431 nucleotides) under uncultured euryarchaeote. Its description in RNAcentral is "bacterial SSU rRNA". It matches the Rfam family "Archaeal small subunit ribosomal RNA", at positions 400 to 821 of the family's 1478-position model. The record is from RNAcentral. Lineage: Archaea; Methanobacteriati; Methanobacteriota.